RNAcentral lists this unclassified non-coding RNA (348 nucleotides) under soil metagenome. Its description in RNAcentral is "partial contains 5.8S ribosomal RNA, internal transcribed spacer 2, and large subunit ribosomal RNA". The stretch from base 1 to 120 matches the Rfam family "5.8S ribosomal RNA", at positions 35 to 154 of the family's 154-position model. The record is from RNAcentral.
GAUGAAGAACGUAGCGAAAUGCGAUAAGUAAUGUGAAUUGCAGAAUUCAGUGAAUCAUCGAAUCUUUGAACGCACAUUGCGCCCGCCAGUAUUCUGGCGGGCAUGCCUGUCUGAGCGUCAUUUCAACCCUCAUGCCCCUAGGGCGUGGUGUUGGGGAUCGGCCAAAGCCCGCGAGAGACGGCCGGCCCCUAAAUCUAGUGGCGGACCCGUCGUGGCCUCCUCUGCGAAGUAGUGAUAUUCCGCAUCGGAGAGCGAUGAGCCCCUGCCGUUAAACCCCCAACUUUCCAAGGUUGACCUCAGAUCAGGUAGGAAUACCCGCUGAACUUAAGCAUAUCAAUAAGCGGAGGA